AAUUCGUGAUGUGGACAUAUGUUUAUCAGGUCCUUGAAUCUCUCCCAGCAAGCCUGAAAGGUCUCAUCAACUCCUUGUAUGAAUCGACUGAUCUGUUCCUAUUAAAAUU
This is a small nucleolar RNA of Malania oleifera, 109 nucleotides long. The record is from RefSeq and is a predicted model, not a curated record. Lineage: Eukaryota; Viridiplantae; Streptophyta; Magnoliopsida; Santalales; Ximeniaceae.